AGGUUGUCGGUUGAAAAGAAGCGGCCGGUGACUCAACAUGUGGUUGGUAUCGGAGGAGGCACGUGGUAGUCUGCAGCCCUCCCCGGAUCGGCAGAGGCGGUGGAGCAGCGACCGAGCAGCGACAGCUGAAGAGCUUGGCCUUGUGUCAGAAAGUGAGACUGCCUCAUCAAACACCACUGAAGAAAAUGAAGACAAUUUCUUCAUCUUCGCUGACCAGGUUGGGCAGAGAGAUGUUGCCCAGCCACAGCAAAGAGUGAAAGGUUGGACACCCUUCACUCUCUGGAGGACCCCAGAAAGGACCUUUCCUCGCUAGAUUCAUAUCCACUGAUCAAGCUACUCUUUGUGAGAUUCAACACCACUUUGCCAUCAUCGGUACCAGUUGGGUGUCUCUUCUCCUUUGCAGGGUCGCAAGGAUGCUGGAGCCUAUCCCAGCAGUCAUUGGGCAACAGGCAGGGAGACACCCUGGACAGGCCGCCAAGUCAUCACAGGGCCGACACACACACACACACACACACACACACACACACACACACACACAC
Molecule: long non-coding RNA, 539 nt
Organism: Lampris incognitus (smalleye Pacific opah)
Lineage: Eukaryota; Metazoa; Chordata; Actinopteri; Lampriformes; Lampridae
Exons: 4
Source: RefSeq, a predicted model, not a curated record